GCAAGGAAUUUUGCGCAAUGGGCGAAAGCCUGACGCAGCAACGCCGCGUGAGGGAAGAAGGCCUUCGGGUUGUAAACCUCUUUUCUCAGGGAAGAAUAAUGACGGUACCUGAGGAAUAAGUCACGGCUAACUACGUGCCAGCAGCCGCGGUAAUACGUAGGUGGCAAGCGUUAUCCGGAUUCACUGGGCGUAAAGAGCACGCAGGCGGUCCUUCAAGUCGGAUGUUAAAUCUCCCGGCUUAACUGGGAGCUGUCAUUCGAUACUGCUGGACUUGAGGACAGUAGAGGGAGGUGGAAUUCCCGGUGUAGUGGUGAAAUGCGUAGAUAUCGGGAGGAACACCAGUGGCGAAAGCGGCCUCCUAGGCUGUUUCUGACGCUGAGGUGCGAAAGCGUGGGGAGCGAACAGGAUUAGAUACCCUAGUAGUCC
RNAcentral lists this ribosomal RNA (426 nucleotides) under uncultured bacterium. RNAcentral describes it as "bacterial SSU rRNA". It matches the Rfam family "Bacterial small subunit ribosomal RNA", at positions 354 to 796 of the family's 1533-position model. The record is from RNAcentral.